GGAACAAAAAAUUUCAAAAAUUAUGACUCAUAAGCUGUGAACCGCGGGUACCACGUUGAACCACCCAUCGGCUUGCCCCUCGUAUGACAGAACGACAUGGCAGCGCUGGUUUUUUCGAUUUCGUUUUGUGCUGAUUUACGCGCGCAUCUUGUUUGUUUUUGUUUUUCUUAGCAAUCAAGGCAGCAGGCUGCAAACAAGUCAAUCAGCUGUGCAGGGAUUUUUGUUUGGCGAAACAAGCGAAAUUUACUGGUGUUUGGUUUGUAAGAUGAUUGCUGUUUUCUCAUCAUUCCUCGCAAGCCAAAUCUGUUCAAUACGAACGGCUCGAUCGUCCGCGACCUCGCCGCCGGAUGAUUGAAUCACCUCGAACCUAGUCAACUCGAUGGUAACGAUUGCCUUCCGGAGUUUUGGGCCCGAAAGAGCGUGUUAGGCAUUUCGACGCUGCACAUUAUCCGUGCCAACAAGUUCAUCGGUGAGGGUGUCGACUUCGGCGGGCCAACAUUUUGGUCAUCGGAGGCCACUCCGGCAAGACCAUUAUCCCAGUGAACCCCAGAGCUUCCCCAGGACAAGAUUGCCGCCCUGACGGCACGCAUUCAAGAGGUCCUCAAGGCCAAGGCCGGUGCCGGAUCGGCUACGUUCACGACGGCCUACGCCGCAGCCCGUUUUGCCCUCGCCGAACCUUGGUCUGCCCAAGGUGAACGCCUACGAGCUAGAGCUGCUAAAGAAGGACAUUCCGGAGCUGAAACAAACAUCCGGAAGGGCAAGGAGUUUGUCAAGAAGAACUUUGUGAACAAAAAAAGUGAAUUUCGAUCAUGUUGAAAAAAA
This is a long non-coding RNA of Culex quinquefasciatus (southern house mosquito), 822 nucleotides long. RefSeq lists it as uncharacterized. NCBI's taxonomy places the organism in Eukaryota, Metazoa, Arthropoda, Insecta, Diptera, Culicidae. The record is from RefSeq and is a predicted model, not a curated record. The transcript has 2 exons.